UAUGGACGUUCCGCCAGCUAACGCGGUCCGGACACCGGAUCACUGAUUAGAGGUUGGCGUUGAACUAUUGUUUGCCAGCCAGUUAGCCGCUGGUAAGCUAACAAGCUAUGAAACAACUCCUUAUAAAACCGGAGGAAAGCAGCAGCAAUAUUUCAGUCCAAGACCUGUAUUCAGAACCUCCCACGCUGUUACACAAUGACCCAUUAAUCAUAUUACUGAACUAUAUGGUUAUCAUUGAAAUUUUCCUUGAAGAACCAGUGAACUCUUUGCGAACACAUUUUAAUUUAUGUGUUGAUUAUGUUUCGUAUCAGUAAUACAAGUCUAAAAAACUGAUUCAAAUGAUCAAGUUAACACAAUGAAGUAAAGAGUACUGGUAAUCUGCAGCUAUUUUCAUAAUUUCAAGGUAAAAUUCUGAUGUGUGAUUUUCUAGCUUUGCAGAUGUGGAAAUCCAAUGCACUGAUUUCUUAUACACAGAUGCUUUUGGUGUUUUUUGUUGUAAAAUAAAACAAGGCAUUUAUCACUAUUGGAAAUGAUUACAGGUAUUAUUUGUAACACUUUCUAACAUUGUAUGGACAAAGCAAUAAAUCAGUUAAUGGAUAAAAUCAUUUGUAUUACAGAUGCUAUCAACAGCAUGUCUUGUUCAUUUUAUUUAGUUGUCGGCCUUGGAUGAUGAGGUCCAGUUACCAGGAGCACUAGUCUGCAGCUUACUGGUUCCGUCCUGCAGCUCCUCCACGCCGUCCUCCUCUCUACAGACCAAAUCAAGAAAAGGGAACCAGGAAGCUGCUUUGGAUCCUCUGCAGUAUCUGGAGAGGUCAGAGGAACGGUUCUUGGAACAGAUCGGAAGACACCAAGACGUGACCUCUGCCAUGCUCCAGAACAUCCAGAAGAUGAAUGAAAACCUUGGUUGCACUGAUGGGACGCAUGGUGUCGGUGCUGGAGCAACUGUCCCAGAAUUAAACUGCAUUGUUGACUAUUGGCUUUUCUAGAAAAUAAAUCUUUUUUAGUACUUCA
Molecule: long non-coding RNA, 1011 nt
Organism: Acanthochromis polyacanthus (spiny chromis)
Lineage: Eukaryota; Metazoa; Chordata; Actinopteri; Pomacentridae
Exons: 2
Source: RefSeq, a predicted model, not a curated record